GAUUCCGUAGCUCAGCUGGGAGAGCGCUACCUUGACAGGGUAGAGGUCGCUGGUUCGAGCCCUGUCGGAAUCA
RNAcentral lists this transfer RNA (73 nucleotides) under Bacillus sp. FJAT-27445. Its description in RNAcentral is "tRNA-Val". It matches the Rfam family "tRNA". From Rfam's summary of the family: Transfer RNA (tRNA) molecules are approximately 80 nucleotides in length. Their secondary structure includes four short double-helical elements and three loops (D, anti-codon, and T loops). Lineage: Bacteria; Bacillati; Bacillota; Bacilli; Caryophanales; Bacillaceae. The record is from RNAcentral.